Molecule: unclassified non-coding RNA, 299 nt
Organism: Callithrix jacchus (white-tufted-ear marmoset)
Lineage: Eukaryota; Metazoa; Chordata; Mammalia; Primates; Cebidae
Rfam family: Metazoan signal recognition particle RNA
About the family: The signal recognition particle (SRP) is a universally conserved ribonucleoprotein.
Source: Ensembl
GCCAGGCGCGGGGCUGCGUGCCUGUCAUCGGAGCUACUUGGGAGGCUGAGGCUGGAGGGUCUCUUGAGCCCAGGAGUUCUGAGCUGCAGUGCGCUACGCCAAUCGGAUGUCCGCACCAAGUUCGGCAUUAGUAUGGUGACCUCCCGGGAGUGGGGGACCACCAGGUGGCCUAAGGAGGGGUGAACCGGCCCAGAUCAGAAACGGAGCAGGUCAAAACUCCCGUGCUGAUCAGUAGUGAGAUCGCGCCUGUGAAUAGACAUUGCACUCCAGCCUGGCCAACAUAGCAGACUCCGUCUCUU